Molecule: ribosomal RNA, 77 nt
Filed under: Mesitornis unicolor (brown roatelo)
Lineage: Eukaryota; Metazoa; Chordata; Aves; Mesitornithiformes; Mesitornithidae
Source: RNAcentral
GCCUACGGCCAUACCACCCUGAGAACGCCCGAUCUCAUCUGAUCCUGGAAGCUAAGCAGGGUCGGGCCUGGUUAGUA